This 26-nucleotide transfer RNA is filed under the name Rosa rubiginosa (sweetbriar rose). Its description in RNAcentral is "partial tRNA-Val". Lineage: Eukaryota; Viridiplantae; Streptophyta; Magnoliopsida; Rosales; Rosaceae. The record is from RNAcentral.
UAUUUUAUAUGUAAUUAGUUAAAUUU